GACGAACGCUGGCGGCGUGCUUAACACAUGCAAGUCGAACGGAAAGGCCCUGCUUUUGUGGGGUGCUCGAGUGGCGAACGGGUGAGUAACACGUGAGUAACCUGCCCUUGACUUUGGGAUAACUUCAGGAAACUGGGGCUAAUACCGGAUAGGAGCUCCUGCUGCAUGGUGGGGGUUGGAAAGUUUCGGCGGUUGGGGAUGGACUCGCGGCUUAUCAGCUUGUUGGUGGGGUAGUGGCUUACCAAGGCUUUGACGGGUAGCCGGCCUGGGAGGGUGACCGGCGACAUUGGGACUGCGAGACGGCCCAGACGCCAACGGGAGGCAGCAGGGGGGAAUAUGGCACAAUGGGCGGAAGCCUGAUGCAGCAACGCCGCGUGCGGGAUGACGGCCUUCGGGUUGUAAACCGCUUUCGCCGGUGACGAAGCGGGAGUGACGGUAAUGGGUAAAGAAGCACCGGCUAACUACGUG
Molecule: ribosomal RNA, 468 nt
Filed under: uncultured bacterium
Lineage: Bacteria
Description: partial 16S ribosomal RNA
Rfam family: Bacterial small subunit ribosomal RNA
Source: RNAcentral